AAAACUUUCAACAACGGAUCUCUUGGUUCUGGCAUCGAUGAAGAACGUAGCGAAAUGCGAUAAGUAAUGUGAAUUGCAGAAUUCAGUGAAUCAUCGAAUCUUUGAACGCACAUUGCGCCCGCCAGUAUUCUGGCGGGCAUGCCUGUCCGAGCGUCAUUUCACCCC
This 165-nucleotide ribosomal RNA is filed under the name Jattaea aurea. Its description in RNAcentral is "5.8S ribosomal RNA". It matches the Rfam family "5.8S ribosomal RNA". From Rfam's summary of the family: 5.8S ribosomal RNA (5.8S rRNA) is a component of the large subunit of the eukaryotic ribosome. It is transcribed by RNA polymerase I as part of the 45S precursor that also contains 18S and 28S rRNA. Functionally, it is thought that 5.8S rRNA may be involved in ribosome translocation. RNAcentral also lists the same sequence under 1 other name. Lineage: Eukaryota; Fungi; Ascomycota; Sordariomycetes; Calosphaeriales; Calosphaeriaceae. The record is from RNAcentral.